This 253-nucleotide ribosomal RNA is filed under the name uncultured bacterium. RNAcentral's name for it is "partial 16S ribosomal RNA". It matches the Rfam family "Bacterial small subunit ribosomal RNA", at positions 524 to 776 of the family's 1533-position model. The record is from RNAcentral.
UACGGAGGGUGCGAGCGUUGUCCGGAAUCACUGGGCGUAAAGGGUGUGUAGGUGGCGCCGUAAGUCGGGUGUGAAAUUCCGGAGCUUAACUCCGAAACUGCAUUCGAUACUGCGGUGCUUGAGGACUGGAGAGGAGACUGGAAUUUACGGUGUAGCAGUGAAAUGCGUAGAUAUCGUAAGGAAGACCAGUGGCGAAGGCGGGUCUCUGGACAGUUCCUGACACUGAGACACGAAGGCCAGGGGAGCAAACGGG